CUUGCCUGGAGGCCAGCCCCGCCAAGCCGGCGCCAUCGCUGGAAGCGUUCCCGCCCUGCUCUGCGAGUGCCCUCAGUUGUCCUCAGUUCGGCAGCCAGAAUGCCUUUGUAGGACUCCACUCUUGCCAGAGAGGGGAACACAGAGGAAGAGACUAUGGCUGCUAUGGUUUUUACAGUUGGACCUCUGAAUCCUGAAGAUUCCCAGCCAGAAGAAGAUUUUCACCUUCAGGCAGAAGAACCAGAACUGGUAAAGGAUUCUGUGACAUUUAAAGAUGUGGCUAUAGACUUCACAUUAGAAGAGUGGAGGUUGAUGGACCCUUCACAGAGGAACCUACACAAGGACGUGAUGCUAGAGAAUUAUAGGAAUCUUGCCUCCCUGGGCCUUGCAGUUUCCAAACCAGACAUGAUAUCUCAUUUGGAGGAUGGAAAAGGACCAUGGGUGGUAGUAAGAGAACUUGCAAGAACCCCUUAUCCAGAAUUGGAGACCAUACCUGCAACCAAGAAUGCUGUAUCAACAGAGGAUAUUUCUGAAAAUGUAUCACAAGAGACUAUACUAGAUAAGCUCACAGAGAAUGGUCUGUGGAACUCCAGAAUGGGAGGAUUAUGGAAAUGGAAUGAAAGGAUAUUGAGAUUGCAAAAUAGUCAGGAAAAUCAUUUGAAUCAAAGAAUAGUUACUCACAAGAAAAUUCCCUCUGGUCAAAGAGGCUUUAGAUUUGAAUCUAUUAUUUUUCCUGAAGCAGGAGUUAUCACAGAAGAACUCCACAGCAAAUGCCAAACACAUGACGAUUUCCCUGAGAAUUUAGAUUUGAUUACAGAUCCCCAUCUGGGGAAGAAAAUUUGCAAGGAUACAGAAAGCAGCAAAGCCAUAAGGCCUACUUCAGAACUUACUUUAGGGAAAAAAUACAACAAUAGAGAAAAACCCUAUAAAUGUAGCACUUGUGAAAAGUCCUUUCGUUAUAGAUCAUUACUCAUUCAACAUCAGAGAACUCACACUAAGGAAAAACCUUAUGAAUGUAGUGAAUGUGGGAAGAUGUUCAGCCAGCCUUCAUAUCUUAGUCAACAUAAAAAAAUUCACACUGGAGAAAAACCCUAUAAAUGUAAUGAAUGUGGAAAAGCUUUCAUUGCUUCUUCAUCACUUAUGGUGCAUCAGAGAAUUCAUACUAAGGAGAAACCUUAUCAAUGCAAUGUCUGUGGAAAAUCUUUUAGCCAGUGUGCUCGCCUUAAUCAACACCAGAGAAUUCAAACCGGAGAGAAACCCUAUAAAUGUAGUGAAUGUGGGAAAGCCUUCAGUGAUAAGUCAAAACUUGCAAGACAUCAGGAAACUCACAAUGGAGAGAAACCCUACAAAUGUAAUGAUUGUGGGAAAGCCUUCAGGAAUAAGUCAUAUCUUAGUGUACAUCAGAAGACCCAUACUGAAGAGAAACCAUAUAAAUGCAAUGAGUGUGGGAAAUCUUUCAAGAAUACCACAAUUUUUAAUGUCCAUCAGAGAAUUCAUACGGGAGAGAAACCCUUUAGGUGUAAUGAAUGUGGGAAAGCCUAUAGAAGUAAUUCAAGCCUUAUUGUACAUAUAAGAACUCAUACUGGAGAAAAACCCUAUGAAUGUAAUGAAUGUGGGAAAGCAUUCAAUCGUAUAGCAAAUUUCACAGAACAUCAAAGAAUUCAUACAGGGGAAAAACCUUAUAAGUGUAAUGAAUGUGGGAAAGCAUUCAUUAAUUAUUCAUGCCUUACUGUACACCACAGAAUGCAUACAGGGGAGAAACCUUAUAAAUGUAAUGAAUGUGGAAAGGCCUUCAUGCGUUCUUCAUCCCUAAUUAUACAUCAGCGAAUUCAUACUGAAGAGAAACCUUACCUAUGUAAUGAAUGUGGGGAAUCUUUCAGAAUAAAGUCACACUUAACUGUACAUCAGAGGAUUCAUACUGGAGAGAAACCAUAUAAAUGUACUGACUGUGAGAGGGCAUUUACCAAAAUGGUAAAUCUCAAAGAGCAUCAGAAAAUUCAUACUGGAGUGAAACCUUAUAAAUGCUAUGAUUGUGAAAAAUCUUUCAGGACUAAGUCAUACCUUAUUGUACAUCAAAGGACCCAUACUGGAGAAAAACCAUAUAAGUGUAAUGAAUGUGAGAGAGCUUUCACUAAUACAUCACAACUUACUGUACAUCAAAGAAGGCAUACUGGAGAAAAACCUUAUAAAUGUAAUGAGUGUGGGAAGGUUUUCACAAGUAACUCAGGCUUUAAUACCCAUCAGAGAACACAUACUGGAGAAAAACCAUUUAAAUGUAAUGACUGUGGGAAAGCAUUUAGCCAGAUGGUACAUGUCACAGAACAUCAGAAGAUUCACAGUGGAGAGAAACCCUAUAAAUGUGAUGUCUGUGGAAAAGCCUUUAGGAGGGGUUCAUACCUUACAGUGCAUUGGAGAACACAUACUGGAGAAAAACCCUAUACGUGUAAGGAAUGUGGCAAAGGUUGUAUCACUCUAUCGCAGCUAACUCUACAUCAGAGAAUUCAUACUGGGGAAAGGCCCUAUAAAUGUGAAGAAUGUGGAAAAGCCUUCAGAACCAACUCAGACUUUACUGUACAUCUGAGGAUGCAUACUGGAGAAAAACCCUAUAAAUGUAAUGAAUGUGGAAAAGCCUUUAGGAGUAGCUCAAGCCUUACAGUACAUCAAAGAAUACAUCAAAGAGAAACUCAGCUAAUAUAAAGAUUAAUAAAUCAUUCAUCUAGAUGCUAACUCCACAGGAAGAAUCAUAAACUGUGUCUUUUAUGAAUGUGGGAAAACCAGGUGUAAAUCACCAGAAAAUACACACUUAAGAGAUACUUGAGAGGGAGCACCUGGAUAGCUCAGUCAGUUAAGCAUCUGCCUUUGGCUCAGGUCAUGAUCCCGGGGUCCUGGGAUUGAGCCCCAGAGCAGGCUCCCUGCUCAGCAUGGAGUCGGCUUCUCCCUCUGCCCCUCCCCCUGCUCGUACUCUCAUGCUCUUCUCAAAUUUUUUUGGAAAAGAUACUUUAGAAAUAUAAGAAUGUGGUAAAGCAUACAAUCAUAUAAAUGUUAGUUCUAAUAAAAUUCACAAUAGAGAAAAAUAAUGGACAAAUGAAAGUCUUCAUCCAGGUUUCAUACUUUAUUCACUUAAAAAGUUAUCUUCAAAGAAUUACCUAUAUAUUUUUUGCCUGUUUUCUAUUGGUUUGUCUUUCUUAUAAAUCUGGAGGUGCUUUUUAUAUAUUUGAAAUAUUAAUCCUUUGUCAUGUGUGUUGCCAAUUUUUUAAUCUAGUGAUUGUCUUUAUGCUUUUUUAUAUAGUAAAAGAAAUUAACAUUUUAAUUUUUCAUAAUGAGAUAUUUAUAUAUUUUCCUUUUUAGAUUGUUAAUUUGCUCUUUUAGUUAAAAGGCUCUCCUUAAUCCCUAGGUUAUACAAUAGUCUCCUAAAUUUGUUUCUAAGAUUUUGGUUAUUUUUUAUAUUAAAGUCUAAUCUGUCUGGACUAGAUGGCUAAUCAUAGAAGAGUAAAUGGCCAUUCAUCUCUGAAAAUGUUAUGAACCUAAGUAGUACUCAGGGAAAUGCAAAUUAAAACAACCAAUAAGACGUAACUUCCACUUCAUGGAGUUGGCAGAAAUGAAGUGAUCUUUUGCUAGUGGACUUGGGGAAAACCUCUUACAAAAAGGUUAUAUCAACUCUUAUUUUUUAAAAAAAACUCAUAAAAAGGUUAUUUAUAUCAACUUGUAUUUCCACCAGCAAUUCAGUAGUAUAUAUUUAAAAUUUUUUAACUUUAAAAUUAAAAUACUUUGGCCUAGCAGUCUCACUUUGGGAAUCUGCCCCCACAGAAAUAACAUCAUCAGUACACAAAAAUACACACAAUAAGAGGUUUUGUUGAAGUGUCAUUUACAGAGGCAAAGUUGAAAAUCAAGUGGAGAUAAAGUGAAUGCCAAACAAUGGGAUAAUGGUUGAAUAAGUUGUGAUAUAGCCACUCUGGAACAGCAUGAGAGUAAUUUUUAAAAUUAGUUAUAUUUACACUAUUGAUCUGAAGGUAUCUUAACAAUUUUUGAUAACCAAUUGCUUUAUUACAGAGCUUUAUGUGUACAAGAUUUCAUUUUUGUUGAUGAUCACACCCACUUAUGUAUAUAUGUGCGUCUGUGAUGAGCAUGGAAACAAGUAUAUAUACCAGAAGAAUAUAUACCAGGCUGUUGUUAUUGGUUACCUUGAAGAGAGGGAAAAGAGGAGUAGAGAGAGAAGUGGGGGGAAAGACUGGAAUUUUUUUUAAUGUAAGUGCAGCAUGUAUGGUACAAAACUCUAUGUAAAACUAUUUGUUUAGACUUUUGAGAACCAUGAAUGAAAGGAUGGUCUUCAAAAAGUUAAUGAUUGUUUUAGAGUUGGUGGAGUAUCCAGUAUUUUUUGUUUGUCUGACUUCUGCACUUUUCUGUAUUUCAAAAGUUUUUUUCCAAUGAGCAUGUGAUAUUUACAUAAACAGGAAAAGCCUAUUUUACUUGUGGAAAUAAUUUAUUGGAUACCUGUUAUGUACCAAGAAUUACCCUGAUAUAUUGUCAGGGUAGGGACAGUCAUGGGAAUCUAAGAGCAUGGGAAUUGGUUCUGAUGGUUCUGAUGAUUCCAAAGAAGUUAUCCAGCACCUCAUUCCCCCCACCCUCUUGGUUUCAUUUGGAGAAGGAAGUAAUUUCAGAGUAUCCAAGGGUAUCUGGAACUUGUGUCCAGGAUAUAGACCAGAAGCUUGUAAGCCUCAAGAGAAAUUCCACCUUCAACAUGGCACUGAGAAAAAGGUCACAAUGGUGAAAAGUUCCAUGUACACCCUCACAGAAUGUUGCAUGAUGGAUUGAUUAUAGGGGAGACAGCCAAAGAUACCCAAGUCCAUAAAUGAAGUCUGAAGUUCUGGAAAUACUAAGAGUCCUAGAACAGAAAUGAGAACCUAGAGGCUGCAGCCCUGAUACCAGAAAACCCUAACAGACCAUGGACCUGAUAUCCAAAAAGGACAAGACAAUGAGCUAUGUUUCAGUGGAGGCUGAAGAAAAGAGAAUCCAGUACCCCUCCCAUAAUGUUAGAAUAUAUGUAUCUAUUUAAUAUUGGGAUAGGGAUAUUGGAAAAAGAUACAAGCUACCUUCCAUUACAAGUUAAUAAUUUGAUGCUUUAAAAUGACCAUUUCUGAUUGAAUUUUAAUAGUGGAAUACAUGAACUAUUACCAAGAGACUUUCCUCCUUUGGAUGUAAUAUACCAGUUUCUGAUUGGAAAGUUUGAGCGUUAAACCAUGAAAUACUACCCAGCCAAGCAUUUCAAGAGGAGCAUGGUCAGCAAGUUCAAAUGACAUAACUGAAGAGUGUCCACAGGGUUAGGGGAUGGAGAUGACAGAGACCACCUUUACUAGAGCAAUUUCAAUGGAGAGGAAAGGCGAAAAAACCUGAUUCUGGUGUGUAGCAAUAUCUCAUUAUAGGUUUAAUUUGAAUUUCCUUUGUGACUAAUGAUACUGAAUCUCCUUUUAGGUGCUUAUUGGCUUUUUGAAUAUCCUCUUUUGAGAAGUGCCUUUUCGAGACUUUGGUCCAUGUUUUUUCAUUGGAAACUCUUUGUUCAUUUAUAGGAUUCUUUCUGUAUUCUGGGUGCAAGGUAUUUUUUAGAUACUUGUGUUGUAAACAUCACCUCUCCAUCUCCAGCUUGCCUUUUCACUCUCUCAUGAUAUCCUUUGAUGAAUAGAAGCCUUUAAUUUUAAUUAAGAACAACUGGUCAACUUUUAUGAUUAGUGUUUUCUGUGCUCAGUUUAAGAAAUUUUUUCCCAAUCCAAAGUCAUAAAGAUAUUUUCCUACAUUCUCUUCUGUAUGUCCACUGUUUUACUUUUCACUUUUAGGUCUAUAAUCCAUCUAAAGUUAAUUUUUAUGUGUGGUGUGGGGUAGAGGUUAAAUUAUUAUUUUCCAUACAAAUACAUAAUGUAUUUGACAUCAUUAAUUGAAAAGACCAUUUUCUCCCCUCCCCCUUGUGUUGUAGUGAUAUUCUUAUGAUAAGUCAGAUGAUAAUAUGUGGGACUCUAUUUCUAAACUAUUCUGUUAUCCCAUUUAACACCAAAUGUUCUUAGUGUAAACAGAUUUAUAGUAAAUCUUGGCAUCUGGUGGUAUGCAUCAUCUAAUUUUCUUGUUCAAAAUUGUCACUGCAAUUUUAGGUCCUUGACAUUUUCACAUAUAUUUUUUAAUCUUUUUUUUUUCAAUUCUUCCAUACUGAAAAAGUUGAUAUUUUAAUGGGCAUUACAUCAAAUAUAUAAUUUUGGAAGAAUGAACACUUUAACAAUAUUAGACAUCCAGCCUAUGAGCAUGCUACAUCUUUUCAUUUACAUACAUCUUUUAAUCAGGAAUUUUUGUAUUUUUUGAAUGUAGAAAUUUUUAACAUUUUUGUUAAGUUAGUCCUAUGUAUUUAGUGUUUUGAUGUUAUAAAUGUUAUUUAGUUUACUGAUUUCUACCAACAUAUUCAAUUUAUUUGAAUUUCAAAUAUAUUUCAAAUAUAUACAGUUGAUCCUUGAGCAACACAGGUUUGAACUGUGCAGAUCCACUUAUACACGGAUUUUUUUCAAUAAAUACAUUGGAAAACUUACUGAAGAUUUGCAACAAUUUGAAAAACAGUGAACCACGUAGGCUAGAAAUAUUGAAAAUUUAAGGAAAGUAUAUCAUGAAUGCACAAAAUUUAUGUAGAUAAUAGUCUAUCACUACCAUAAGACAUACACAAACCUAUUAUAAAAGUUAAAAUUUGUCAAAACUUAUGCAUGCAAGCAAGCAGAGCAUACGUGACACCAUUUGCACUUGAGACAAAUGUAAACAAAGAUGCAGCAGUAAAUGAAAAUUAACUGUAGUACAUACUGUACUAUAAUAAUUUUGUAGCCAUGUUGCUUUUGCCUUAAGUUCAAGUGUUGUGUCCACUUAAAACGCUGUGUGACACUGAUCAUCAAGGAGCAGUUCAUCUCUGAUAAAUUGUAUAUUACAGUAAAAAGUCACCCGUCAACAGUUAACAUAUUUUUCAUGUUUAAUGAAAUACUAUAAACCUCAAAUAACACCACAGGAUCCAUAUGAAAUGCCACUAAUGAUGAUGGAAGUGCUCCCUAGGAGCAGAGAAUUUGUGAUAUUAUAAGAAAAAUUAUAAUUGGGACGCCUGGGUAGUUCAGUGUUUGAGCAUCUGCCUUUGGCUCAGGGCAUGAUCCCAGGGUCUUGGGAUCAAGUUCUGAAUUGGGCUCCCCAUAAGGAGCCUGCUUCUCCCUCUGCCUGUGUCUCUGCCAAUCUCUCUGUGUCUCUCAUGAAUAAAUCAAUAAAAUCUUAAGAAAAAGAAAGAAGUUGAAUUGCUUGAUAUGUACCAUAGAUUGAGGUCUAUAGUUGUUGCCUGCCAUUUCAAGAUAAAUGAAUCCAGUAUAAAGAUCAUUGUUUAAAAAAAAAAUAGGAAGCCAUUACUGCAGCUAACUAAAUGAGCAGGCAUGAAAAUUUUGCACUUUUUAUGAACUACUGUUUUAUUAUACUGAAAAUGCAGCUUUUAUGCAGGUGCAGAACUGUUAUAAGUAAGGCAUACCUAUAGACUAAUAUGAUUUGAGAAAAAGUGAAGUCUAUAUGGCAACUGUAAAAGAAAAAGAAGAUGAAGUAUCUAAAGCUGGAGGAUUUAAUACCACCAAUGUCUGGUUUGAUAAUUUUAGAGGUUUGGCUUUUAAAAUGUCAACAGAAGCAGCUUCUGCUCACCUUGAGGUAGCGAAUUAGUUCCCAGACACCAUUAAGGAAAUCAUUAAGAAGAAAGACUAUCAGUCUGAAAAAGGUUUUAAUGCAGACAAAAGUGCCUCAUUCCAGAAGAAAAAAAAAUUGCCACAAAGGACAUUUAUUAGGAAGAGCAGCAAGUACCAAAAUUUAAGGCAUCAAGGGAUAAAGCUAGCUACCAUUUUGUGCAAAUGUAGUUGGGUUUUUGGUCUCAGGCUGCCCUUCUCUAUAAAGCUGAUAACUCUUGAAAAGCUAUUUAACAGCUGCCAGUCUUUUGGGCUAUACAAGAAAGCCUAGACAACAAGAACUGCCAACUAUGCCCCACAACCACCACCACCCCCAACCGCCCCCCCCCCGCUGUUUUUUAGAAACUUUGUUUCCAUUGGUUCCAACAAUGCUUUGUCCCUGAAGUCAGGAAAUACAUUGCAAGUAAGGAACUGCCUUUUAAAGUUCUGGACAAUGUCCCUGCCCACCCAGAACCUCAUGAGUUCAACACCGAAUGUGUCAAAGUGGUCUGUUUGCCCCACACAGUAUCUCUAAUUCAGCCUCUAGAUCACAGGGUCAUAAAGACCUUUAACUCUCA
Molecule: RNA transcript, 8278 nt
Organism: Canis lupus familiaris (dog)
Lineage: Eukaryota; Metazoa; Chordata; Mammalia; Carnivora; Canidae
Gene: ZNF624
Gene name: zinc finger protein 624
Exons: 7
Source: RefSeq, a predicted model, not a curated record